GCUUUCUUUCACGUCCGCAUUUCUAUCAAGUAUGGCAUGCCAAGUUAACAUUUUAAUGAUUACUACAGAUAAGAAACACAAAUAACAGAACAGUGCACAAUACCAUACAUUGUUAUUCGUAGGACAUAAAGAGAAACUACGUGAUAAUUUUGAUAUAUUACACAGUGAAUUAAUUUAGUUUUUUUUUUAAAUAAAGAUGGCAUAGUGUAUAUUGUCCAUAAUAUUUAUAUCUAACCAAUAAAUAUCUGAUAUUGACAUGGGAUAGGGUUCAUAAUAACAUAAACAAUUAUUGGACUUUUGGGGAUCGCCCAGAUAUUCCGACACCCCACUGGUCCAACACCCCAAUAGUCCGAUAAAGGUUAAUAAGUGCCGUAAUAGAAAAUAUACUUCAUGAGUAGAGCUUCAUGAGGGUGUUGAUGUGGAUUUACAGAAUAGAGAAUAAUGAUGGGGGGGGGGGGGGGGGGUUAAAGAAUAGAGAAAAAUGAGGUCCUAAAAUAAUGGGCAAAAGUAUAAAAAAUAGAGAAAAUGGCAAACAUUUUAAAGAAUACAGAUAUGAAAGACCCCCUCCUCCCCAAUGCAGACACCCUUUGAUAGAAUAAUUGUUGACAUGGUAUUUGAACUAUUCGUUCUAAUAUCACAGAAACAGAUUUUAGCAUGCCAC
RNAcentral lists this long non-coding RNA (661 nucleotides) under Mytilus galloprovincialis (Mediterranean mussel). Lineage: Eukaryota; Metazoa; Mollusca; Bivalvia; Mytilida; Mytilidae. The record is from RNAcentral.